AUAACUUAUCAAAUCUAUACACCCCUUGUUUCUAGUUCCUGGAGAUUUUUCAAGGCGUUCUCAUAACCUGUUCUAAAAUUUGGAUAAAAAUUGUAAUCCAGUUUCGGCUUUGGGUCAUAAAAUUAAUCCAGUGUCACAAAAUCUUUAAAAAUCCACUGAUGGCAUUGACCAAGAUUAAUCUGUUCGUAUAUAAACCCACCACAGAAAGAUUCUAGCAGUAUUGUACCGAAUACACUUCUAAGAACUCAACAAAAAUGGCACCUAAAAGCUUCUCGAUGUAUUUGCUUUCCCUCAUUGUUGCAAUAAAUAUUGUUGCAAUAAUGGCCACCCACACCCAUUAUGACCCAAACAAAGUUUAUACCAUUCGUCCCCUGCAUGAUAAAACUGUGGCUCUACAUACUCGUGAUUCAUCACAAGUUCAGUUGCAAAUAUACAGUCACGGAAAAGCUUACUCGCUCUUUCAUAUUCAGCACAGCCGCGAAAAUGGAUUGUCAUUCUACCUAGUUAGUGAACCAACAGGGGAAGUAAUGGACUUUAAUAGAAGAACUAAAUCCGUUAUCAUGAGCUCAAGAAAUGGGUCUCUUAGGCAGUUGUGGUACUUGACACAUGAUAAUCGUAUUGUUAAUGCAGAUACCCACUUGGCUCUUACCCUCAGAUAUCGACAUGUUGAAAAUGGACAUCUUAAAUAUGGAACUCCGCUUAUUGUUUCUCAAAAUAACGGAAGCAUAAACCAGGAAUUUAAAAUAUGGGAAGAUUUACCUUCAUCAACCUAUUAAAGUGUUCGUCAUAUUCUAUGUUAUCCUUGUAUACUUGUAUGUUGUGUAUAUAUGAACUUAACUCUAACCUAACAAAACAAUGUUACAUUUAUACAGAAUUUAAAAUAUAAAAUAUACCUAAAUAUACUUAAUACAACUUC
This is a long non-coding RNA of Zophobas morio, 916 nucleotides long. RefSeq lists it as uncharacterized. NCBI's taxonomy places the organism in Eukaryota, Metazoa, Arthropoda, Insecta, Coleoptera, Tenebrionidae. The transcript is spliced from 3 exons. The record is from RefSeq and is a predicted model, not a curated record.